AACGCACAUUGCGCCCGCUAGUAUUCUGGCGGGCAUGCCUGUUCGAGCGUCAUUUCAACCAUCAAGCCAUAGGCUUGUGUUGGGGUCCUGCGAUUUCCGCAGCCCUCUAAAAGCAGUGGCGGGCUCAUUGUCAUACCGAGCACAGUAGCUUAUCUUUGCUUCGGAGGUGGCAGUAGGUACCAGCUAUAAAACUAUCCUAAGGUUGACCUCGGAUCAGGUAGGAAUACCCGCUGAACUUAA
This 240-nucleotide unclassified non-coding RNA is filed under the name uncultured Sordariales. RNAcentral's name for it is "sequence contains 5.8S rRNA gene, ITS2, 28S rRNA gene". The record is from RNAcentral. Lineage: Eukaryota; Fungi; Ascomycota; Sordariomycetes; Sordariales.